GAUGAACGCUGGCGGCGUGCCUAAUACAUGCCAGUCGAGCGAACGGACGAGAAGCUUGCUUCUCUGAUGUUAGCGGCGGACGGGUGAGUAACACGUGGAUAACCUACCUAUAAGACUGGGAUAACUUCGGGAAACCGUAGCUAAUACCGGAUAAUAUUUUGAACCGCAUGGUUCAAAAGUGAAAGACGGUCUUGCUGUCACUUAUAGAUGGAUCCGCGCUGCAUUAGCUAGUUGGUAAGGUAACGGCUUACCAAGGCAACGAUGCAUAGCCGACCUGAGAGGGUGAUCGGCCACACGGGAACUGAGACACGGUCCAGACUCCUACGGGAGGCAGCAGUAGGGAAUCUUCCGCAAUGGGCGAAAGCCUGACGGAGCAACGCCGCGUGAGUGAUGAAGGUCUUCGGAUCGUAAAACUCUGUUAUUAGGGAAGAACAUAUGUGUAAGUAACUGUGCACAUCUUGACGGUACCUAAUCAGAAAGCCACGGCUAACUACGUG
This 497-nucleotide ribosomal RNA is filed under the name uncultured bacterium. RNAcentral describes it as "partial 16S ribosomal RNA". It matches the Rfam family "Bacterial small subunit ribosomal RNA", at positions 28 to 507 of the family's 1533-position model. The record is from RNAcentral.